Asterias rubens (European starfish) is the source of this 1506-nucleotide long non-coding RNA. RefSeq lists it as uncharacterized. Lineage: Eukaryota; Metazoa; Echinodermata; Asteroidea; Forcipulatida; Asteriidae. The record is from RefSeq and is a predicted model, not a curated record. The transcript has 2 exons.
UAUUCACUUUUUAUUUUCUACUCAUCAUUUGGUUCUAGCAAAUUUAUACAAUCCUGCAUCACUGAUCACAACUUCAAAGGCAACAACACAAUUAAUUAAGACUCCAUGCAAAAUGAAAUUGCUUAUGAAAAAAGUCUGGCUCAGUACUCGUUAUCAAACAUUGUUAAUGUAAAAUUGUAAAAGCACUGUAUAAUAAUGUACACUAAUGUGCCUCAAUACUUAGUGAUUUUCCUUGUUUUUAACGAUCCAACCACUAGGUCACAAAGUAAAAUUCAUCACAUCUCAAAAUUCACAAUUUAAAUCAAAAUAAUUAAAUAUUCAUCAAAACCUUUCAGAGUAACAUUGCUUUUAGGUUUGGCGCUUUAAUUGGCCAUGUAUGAAAACAUUUUGUUAUGACACAAAUCUGGUUGGAAAUUUGUUUUAAAAGUAGUGAAUAAUGAUUGACAUUAAUUUGCCUCAAACUGUGUAGUUUUCCUUUUACUUUUUAAACUAAAAUGGUCCGCUAUUUUGUGGAGUCAAAAAUUUGCUUCAACAAAAUGAUGGACCGUGUCCAACCGUGUUAGUUCAUAAAGUAAAAGUAAGGUAUAAAUUUGUGAAUAUCCAUUUUAUAACAGCUGCUGUUUUUAGCCCAGAGAACAAAAUCCAAAUGCAAUGUGUCCCUUUAAGCGUGAGUUUAAUUCAACAUUGAAAAACAGGCUCAUUACUGGUUAUAAACAAAUCUUGUUAAAUUUCAACAAUUUAAAUCAAAAUGAUGAAAUAUUCAUCAAACUAUCCCUUUUAGACUUUGCACUUUGGCCAAUGAAAGCCUUUGUUAUGACAAAAAUCUAGUUGUAAAUGUGUUUUACAAGUAUUAUUUGCACCAAUAUGCCUUAAAAACUGUGGUUUUUCUUUCACUUUGUGAGCUAACAUUUUUCAUGUUAGUUCAAGAGAGCAAAGAAACACACAGUUUCUAGAUAUAUUUGUGUCACUCAUUAUUUUCUAAUUUUUAAAUAUAUGUUUAACCAUAUUCAUUUCAUAUCAAGCACAAUAAAGCCAAAAAUAUUUAAGCAUGCGUAGUAAUUCAACAUUGAAAAGUCAGUCUCAAUAUUUGUUAGUAAACCGUGUUAUUUUAAAAUUCAUCAUAUCUCAAAUUUCAUCAAUUAAAAUCACAAUAUAAAAUAUUAAUCAAAAACCUUCUUUAGGAGAGACAUUGCUUUUAGAUUACGCACGUUGAGCUAUGGAAGCAUUCGACAUUACUAAACGAAUCUGGUUGGAAACAUGUUUUAAAAGUAGUGAAUAAAGAUUUACACUAAUUAUAGUGCCUUGAAACUGUGUGGUUUUCCUUUCACUUUGUGAACGAAAAAUAAUGGUCUGCAAUUUGGUUGAGCAAAAAAACUUGGUUUAAAAAAAAAGGCGGUCCAUGUUAUUAGCUCACAAAGUAAAAGUAAAACCGCACAAUUUUGAGCUAUAGUUGUAUGAAUGAUUUUGUUUUACUUUUAAAACAUCUUUCCAACCAUGUUAAUUUUU